UAGCGAAUGGAAAAGAGCAAAGAAGAGUGAAAAGGGUGCAAUGGGGUCCAUGAACAAAUAGAAUUGGUGGGAGGAAAGUGCAUGAGAUAAAUAUGUAGAUUUAGGUUUAAAUUUAUUUAUUUAUUUAUAUAUACAUAUAUAUUAGGACAUGAGUUAUGGAUGUUCUGCUUUUCCCUUCCUUUCUCUCGUUCGUUUGACAGUUGAUUCAGAUGUCGAAUCACUAUCGGUCUAUCUGUUCAAGUAUAUAUUAAU
RNAcentral lists this ribosomal RNA (252 nucleotides) under Polytomella parva. RNAcentral describes it as "partial Eukaryotic large subunit ribosomal RNA". The record is from RNAcentral. Lineage: Eukaryota; Viridiplantae; Chlorophyta; Chlorophyceae; Chlamydomonadales; Chlamydomonadaceae.